Molecule: ribosomal RNA, 231 nt
Filed under: uncultured bacterium
Lineage: Bacteria
Description: partial 16S ribosomal RNA
Rfam family: Bacterial small subunit ribosomal RNA
Source: RNAcentral
UGGGUAACCUGCCCUUGACUCUGGGAUAACCCCAGGAAACCGGAGCUAAUACCGGAUACGAACCACCCAGGCAUCUAGGUGGUUGGAAAGAACUUCGGUCAAGGAUGGGCUCGCGGCCUAUCAGCUUGUUGGUGAGGUAACGGCCCACCAAGGCGACGACGGGUAGCCGGCCUGAGAGGGCGACCGGCCACACUGGGACUGAGACACGGCCCAGACUCCUACGGGAGGCAG